GGGACGACGGUAUCACGCUGAUCCGAGGUCACAUUUCAGAAGUUGGGUGUUUAACGGCUGUGGACGCGCCGCGCUCCCGAUGCGAGUGUGCAAACUACUGCGCAGGAGAGGCUGCGGCGAGACCGCCACUGUAUUUCGGAGACGGCCACCGCCAAGGCAGGGCCGAUCCCCAACGCCGACCCCCCGGAGGGGUUCGAGGGUUGAAAUGACGCUCGGACAGGCAUGCCCGCCAGAAUACUGGCGGGCGCAAUGUGCGUUCAAAGAUUCGAUGAUUCACUGAAUUCUGCAAUUCACAUUACUUAUCGCAUUUCGCUGCGUUCUUCAUCGAUGCCAGAACCAAGAGAUCCGUUGUUGAAAGUUUUGAUUCAUUUUCGAAACGCCUACGAGAGGCGCCGAGAAGGCUCAGAUUAUAAAAAAACCCGCGAGGGGGUAUACAAUAAGAGUUUUGGUUGGUCCUCCGGCGGGCGCCUUGGUCCGGGGCUGCGACGCACCCGGGGCAGAGAUCCCGCCGAGGCAACAGUUUGGUAACGUUCACAUUGGGUUUGGGAGUUGUAAACUCGGUAAUGAUCCCUCCGCUGGUUCACCAACGGAGACCUUGUUCAUUUUUUUCCCUUCCAAAAAAGGAA
RNAcentral lists this unclassified non-coding RNA (626 nucleotides) under Trichoderma harzianum. RNAcentral's name for it is "sequence contains 18S rRNA gene, ITS1, 5.8S rRNA gene, ITS2, 28S rRNA gene". Lineage: Eukaryota; Fungi; Ascomycota; Sordariomycetes; Hypocreales; Hypocreaceae. The record is from RNAcentral.